RNAcentral lists this long non-coding RNA (1281 nucleotides) under Nicotiana benthamiana. RNAcentral's name for it is "long non-coding RNA (NBEN_LNC004434)". The record is from RNAcentral. Lineage: Eukaryota; Viridiplantae; Streptophyta; Magnoliopsida; Solanales; Solanaceae.
GCAUGAUAUCUAGGUUAGCAAAACCAUAUAAUAUACGUCCUAUAGGCAUGCUGUCUAAAUGCACAAUAAUAACAAGUAUGGAGAUGAUAGUGUACCAGUAUUGGUCAAAUUAGGUGAGGUGUGAUCAAUUCCUAGAGACAUGAUUUAUACUAGCGUGCAGAAGUAGAGCAAGUUAAAGAAGUAGGACAGUAGAAUCUUCCUGAAUCCAAUGCCCAGGUCCAACAAUACAUAUGGCCUAACACCGAGCCCAAUGAAUAACUUACUUAGCGGUAUGAAUGCCAAACUUAAUCAUACAAACGACAGAGCACUCGUGGAAUUAACUAAAUAACUUUUCACACUCAACUCCUAAAGCUAUAACUAAUCAACAUUUAUAACCAAAACAUAUGGAUAAGAUCACAUGAAAUACCGACAAGUUUACAAGGAAGGUUCAAGCUUGUAUUGUUAGAAAUAAACCUAAAGUGACAGGAUUGACCCUCAUAAGAUAGUGAACUAUUACAAAAGACUUUCAAGAGCAAGCUGAUUCAGAAUUAGCCUAAAAGAGCUUUAGCCACAAGAUUUAAACAUGGAAAUCUAAUAGACUCAUAGACACGAUCAAGUAGAGCAUAGCCUUCACACAUAAGUUUUAACAUGAAGGUCUAGUGAAAACAAUAUAACAUAACAGGUUCAUGAUCAAGCAAUUACUUAGUUGAGCAUGAGAAAACUUGAACAUGCUGAGUAUCAGCAAAAACUUAUAGUAAAUAGUAUUUUAAAAGAAAGAGAUAGUAUGGCAUGCUAUCCAAGUGGAAGUGUAAUAAAAUGGCAGAAGCAGUUGAUUAAGAGAUUAGUAUCAUAUGGUCAUGAUAUCCAGAUUGAUAGUGCAUCAAAGAAAAUAGGAGCAGUUUGAUCAAUUAAUUAUUUGAAGUCCUAUUGGCAAGAUAACUAGGUUAGCAAAACCACAUAAUAUACGUCCUAUAGGCAUGCUGUCUAAAUGCACAAUAAUAACAAGUAUGGAGAUAAUAGUGUACCAGUAUUGGUCAAAUUAGGUGAGGUGUGAUCAAUUCCUAGAGACAUGAUUUAUACUAGCGUGCAGAAGUAGAGCAAGUUAAAGAAGUAGGACAGUAGAAUCUUCCUGAAUCCAAUGCCCAGGUCCAACAAUACAUAUGGCCUAACACCGAGCCCAAUGAAUAACUUACUUAGCGGUAUGAAUGCCAAACUUAAUCAUACAAACGACAGAGCACUUCAAUACAUAUGGCCUAAUACCGAGCCCAUUGAAUAACUUACUUAGCGGUAUGAAUGCCAAAC